UACGUAGGUGGCAAGCGUUGUCCGGAUUUACUGGGCGUAAAGAGCGCGCAGGCGGCCGAGUAAGUCGAAUGUGAAAUCCCCAGGCUUAACCUGGGAACUGCAUUCGAGACUGCAUUACUAGAGUAUGGGAGAGGGAAGUGGAAUUUCCGGUGUAGCGGUGAAAUGCGUAGAUAUCGGAAGGAACAUCAGUGGCGAAAGCGACUUCCUGGACCAAUACUGACGCUCAUGUGCGAAAGCGUGGGGAGCAAACAGG
RNAcentral lists this ribosomal RNA (253 nucleotides) under uncultured bacterium. RNAcentral describes it as "partial 16S ribosomal RNA". It matches the Rfam family "Bacterial small subunit ribosomal RNA", at positions 524 to 776 of the family's 1533-position model. The record is from RNAcentral.